CCAAAGGCUCUUUUCAGAGCCACUUAAAUAUACUGAAAGAGCUGU
Molecule: regulatory RNA element, 45 nt
Organism: Chlorocebus sabaeus (green monkey)
Lineage: Eukaryota; Metazoa; Chordata; Mammalia; Primates; Cercopithecidae
Rfam family: Histone 3' UTR stem-loop
About the family: The mRNAs of metazoan histone genes lack a poly-A tail. 3' end processing occurs at a site between a highly conserved stem-loop (modelled by this family) and a purine rich region around 20 nts downstream (the histone downstream element, or HDE).
Source: Rfam